This 860-nucleotide ribosomal RNA is filed under the name Macrocybe crassa. RNAcentral describes it as "partial large subunit ribosomal RNA". It matches the Rfam family "Eukaryotic large subunit ribosomal RNA", at positions 79 to 923 of the family's 3401-position model. Lineage: Eukaryota; Fungi; Basidiomycota; Agaricomycetes; Agaricales; Callistosporiaceae. The record is from RNAcentral.
CCUAGUAACUGCGAGUGAAGCGGGAAGAGCUCAAAUUUAAAAUCUGACAGCCUUUGGCUGUCCGAGUUGUAAUCUAGAGAAGUGUUAUCCGCGCUGGACCGUGUACAAGUCUCCUGGAAUGGAACAUCAUAGAGGGUGAGAAUCCCGUCUUUGACACGGACUUCCAGGGCUUUUGUGAUACGCUCUCAAAGAGUCGAGUUGUUUGGGAAUGCAGCUCUAAAUGGGUGGUAAAUUCCAUCUAAAGCUAAAUAUUGGCGAGAGACCGAUAGCGAACAAGUACCGUGAGGGAAAGAUGAAAAGAACUUUGGAAAGAGAGUUAAACAGUACGUGAAAUUGUUGAAAGGGAAACGCUUGAAGUCAGUCGCAUUGACUAGGGAUCAACCUUGCUUUUUUGCUUGGUGUACUUCCUAGUUGAUGGGCCAGCAUCAAUUUUGACCAGUGGAUAAAGGUCAAAGGAAUGUGGCAUCUCUGGAUGUGUUAUAGCCUUUGAUUGUAUACAUUGGUUGGGAUUGAGGAACUCAGCACGCCGCAAGGCCGGGUUUCGACCACGAUCGUGCUUAGGAUGCUGGCAUAAUGGCUUUAAUCGACCCGUCUUGAAACACGGACCAAGGAGUCUAACAUGCCUGCGAGUAUUUGGGUGGCAAACCCAUGUGCGUAAUGAAAGUGAAGAUCAGGAUCUCUGUCAUGGAGAGCACUGAUGCCCGGACCAGACCUUUUGUGACGGAUCUGCGGUAGAGCAUGCAUGUUGGGACCCGAAAGAUGGUGAACUAUGCCUGAAUAGGGUGAAGCCAGAGGAAACUCUGGUGGAGGCUCGUAGCGAUUCUGACGUGCAAAUCGAUCGUCAAAUUUGGGUAUAGGGG